ACGCUGGAGAAGCUGUUCAGACUCAGCCUGGUCACUAAAACAAUACAACGAUGCAUGAUUAAUGCAUUAUGUGUGUAUCACUUUAAGUAAAAACCAUGGUGCGUUUGUAAUGAAGUGUCUCAAGUGUUUGAGGCAACAUAGAUAAAAACAAAAACUAUGGGAAUAAAGUUUGAUAAUGUAAUUGUAAUGCUUAUGUGUUUUGAGUUGUAUUAUGUGAUAUUUGCUUAAUAAAAAUCGUUUUGUAUACUUUUAUGUUAAUCUCUUUCAGUAUUGUGUGCCAGUGUACUACGAAAUUUUCACCAAUACCAAUUUCCUACGAGAUAUUUCCUACCAAAAUUUUCGUAAAAACGGUGAGAAACAAGUGUUCCUAUCAUUUUCUUAGAAUAUGUUCAGUUGGAAAUCAGAUAUUU
This 410-nucleotide long non-coding RNA is filed under the name Capsella grandiflora. Its description in RNAcentral is "long non-coding RNA (CGRA_LNC000486)". Lineage: Eukaryota; Viridiplantae; Streptophyta; Magnoliopsida; Brassicales; Brassicaceae. The record is from RNAcentral.